UGGAAAUGACGAGUUUGAUCCUUGCUCAGGGUGAACGCUGGCGGUAUGCUUAACACAUGCAAGUUGAACGAAAUUACUAGCAAUAGUAAUUUAGUGGCGGACGGGUGAGUAAUAUGUAAGAAUCUGCGCUUGGGCGAGGAAUAACAGAUGGAAACGUUUGCUAAUGCCUCAUAAUUUACUAGAUCUAUGUGAGUAGCUAGUUAAAGAGAAUUUCGCCUAGGCAUGAGCUUGCAUCUGAUUAGCUUGUUGGUGAGGUAAAGGCUUACCAAGGCGACGAUCAGUAGCUGAUUUGAGAGGAUGAUCAGCCACACUGGGAUUGAGAACGGAACAGACUUCUACGGAAGGCAGCAGUGAGGAAUUUUCCGCAAUGGGCGCAAGCCUGACGGAGCAAUACCGCGUGAAGGAAGACGGCCUUUGGGUUGAAAACCUCUUUUCUCAAAGAAGAAGAAAUGACGGUAUUUGAGGAAUAAGCAUCGGCUAAUUCCGUGCCAGCAGCCGCGGUAAUACGGGAGAUGCGAGCGUUAUCCGGAAUUAUUGGGCGUAAAGAGUUUGUAGGCGGUCAAGUGUGUUUAAUGUUAAAAGUCAAAGCUUAACUUUGGAAGGGCAUUAAAAACUGCUAGACUUGAGUAUGGUAGGGGUGAAGGGAAUUUCCAGUGUAGCGGUGAAAUGCGUAGAGAUUGGAAAGAACACCAAUGGCGAAGGCACUUUUCUAGGCCAAUACUGACGCUGAGAAACGAAAGCUGAGGGAGCAAACAGGAUUAGAUACCCUGUAGUCUUGGCCGUAAACUAUGGAUACUAAGUGGUGCUGAAAGUGCACUGCUGUAGUUAACACGUUAAGUAUCCCGCCUGGGGAGUACGCUUGCACAAGUGAAACUCAAAGGAAUUGACGGGGGCCCGCACAAGCGGUGGAGCAUGUGGUUUAAUUCGAUGCAACACGAAGAACCUUACCAGGAUUUGACAGGAUCUAGGAAGUUUGAAAGAACGCAGUACCUUCGGGUAUCUAGACACAGGUGGUGCAUGGCUGUCGUCAGCUCGUGUCGUGAGAUGUUGGGUUAAGUCCCGCAACGAGCGCAACCCUUUUUUUUAAUUAACGCUUGUCAUUUAGAAAUACUGCUGGUUAUUACCGGAGGAAGGUGAGGACGACGUCAAGUCAUCAUGCCCCUUAUAUCCUGGGCUACACACGUGCUACAAUGGUUAAGACAAUAAGUUGCAAUUUUGUGAAAAUGAGCUAAUCUUAAAACUUAGCCUAAGUUCGGAUUGUAGGCUGAAACUCGCCUACAUGAAGCCGGAAUCGCUAGUAAUCGCCGGUCAGCUAUACGGCGGUGAAUACGUUCUCGGGCCUUGUACACACCGCCCGUCACACCAUGGAAGUCGGCUGUGCCCGAAGUUAUUAUCUUGCCUGAAAAGAGGGAAAUACCUAAGGCCUGGCUGGUGACUGGGGUGAAGUCGUAACAAGGUAGCCGUACUGGAAGGUGUGGCUGGAACAACUCCC
This 1492-nucleotide ribosomal RNA is filed under the name Euglena gracilis. RNAcentral's name for it is "bacterial SSU rRNA". It matches the Rfam family "Bacterial small subunit ribosomal RNA". Lineage: Eukaryota; Euglenozoa; Euglenophyceae; Euglenales; Euglenaceae. The record is from RNAcentral.